CGUAAGGACCGAGCGUUGUCCGGAAUCAUUGGGCGUAAAGGGUACGUAGGCGGGUUUUAAGUUAGAAGUCAAAGGCUAUAGCUCAACUAUAGUAAGCUUCUAAAACUGGGAACCUUGAGUAAUGGAAGGGAAAGUGGAAUUCCUAGUGUAGCGGUGGAAUGCGCAGAUAUUAGGAGGAAUACCGGUGGCGAAGGCGACUUUCUGGCCAUUAACUGACGCUGAGGUACGAAAGCGUGGGUAGCAAACAGGAUU
This 252-nucleotide ribosomal RNA is filed under the name uncultured bacterium. Its description in RNAcentral is "partial 16S ribosomal RNA". It matches the Rfam family "Bacterial small subunit ribosomal RNA", at positions 526 to 779 of the family's 1533-position model. The record is from RNAcentral.